UACGUAGGUGGCAAGCGUUGUCCGGAUUUACUGGGCGUAAAGAGCGCGCAGGCGGUCGAUCAAGUCGCGUGUGAAAGCCCCGGGCUCAACCCGGGAAGUGCACUCGAUACUGCCAAGCUAGAGUAUCGGAGAGGUUGGUGGAAUUCUCGGUGUAGAGGUGAAAUUCGUAGAUAUCGAGAGGAACACCGGUGGCGAAGGCGGCCAACUGGACGAAUACUGACGCUGAGACUCGAAAGCGUGGGGAGCAAACAGG
RNAcentral lists this ribosomal RNA (253 nucleotides) under uncultured bacterium. RNAcentral's name for it is "partial 16S ribosomal RNA". It matches the Rfam family "Bacterial small subunit ribosomal RNA", at positions 524 to 776 of the family's 1533-position model. The record is from RNAcentral.